Molecule: ribosomal RNA, 500 nt
Filed under: uncultured bacterium
Lineage: Bacteria
Description: bacterial SSU rRNA
Rfam family: Bacterial small subunit ribosomal RNA
Source: RNAcentral
AUUGAACGCUGGCGGCAUGCUUUACACAUGCAAGUCGAACGGUAACAGGGAGCUUGCUCCGCUGACGAGUGGCGAACGGGUGAGUAAUGCAUCGGAACGUACCGUGUAAUGGGGGAUAACGCAGCGAAAGUUGUGCUAAUACCGCAUACGAUCUACGGAUGAAAGCAGGGGAUCGCAAGACCUUGCGUUAUACGAGCGGCCGAUGUCGGAUUAGCUAGUUGGUAGGGUAAAGGCCUACCAAGGCAACGAUCCGUAGCGGGUCUGAGAGGAUGAUCCGCCACACUGGGACUGAGACACGGCCCAGACUCCUACGGGAGGCAGCAGUGGGGAAUUUUGGACAAUGGGGGCAACCCUGAUCCAGCCAUGCCGCGUGAGUGAAGAAGGCCCUCGGGUUGUAAAGCUCUUUUGUCCGGAAAGAAAAGCAAUCGGUUAAUACCCGGUUGUUCUGACGGUACCGGAAGAAUAAGCACCGGCUAACUUCGUGCCAGCAGCCGCGGUAA